Molecule: ribosomal RNA, 403 nt
Filed under: uncultured bacterium
Lineage: Bacteria
Description: partial 16S ribosomal RNA
Rfam family: Bacterial small subunit ribosomal RNA
Source: RNAcentral
GACGAACGCUGGCGGCGUGCCUAAUACAUGCAAGUCGAACGCAGUGGGGAUGGGUGAGUAACACGUGGGUAACCCCCCAUCAGAGGGGAUAACACUUGGACACAGGUGCUAAACCCAUACUGGUGGAUGGACCCGCGGGGCAUUAGCCAGUUGGUGAGGUAACGGCUCACCAAGGCCAAGAUGCAUCUCCGACCUGAGAGGGUGAUCGGCCACACUGGAACUGAAGCACGGCCCAGACUCCUCCGGGAGGCAGCAGUAGGGAAUCUUGGGCAAUGGACGAAAGUCUGACCGAGCAACGCCGCGUGAGUGAAGAAGGUUUUCGGAUCGUAAAACUCUGUUGUUAGAGAAGCGGUAUCUAACCAGAAAGCCACGGCUAACUACGUGCCAGCAGCCGCGGUAAUUC